AUUGCCUCAGUAACGGCGAGUGAAGCGGCAACAGCUCAAAUUUGAAAUCUGGCCGCAAGGUCCGAGUUGUAAUUUGUAGAGGAUGCUUUUGGCGAGGUGCCUUCCGAGUUCCCUGGAACGGGACGCCAUAGAGGGUGAGAGCCCCGUACGGUAGGACCACCAAGCCUCUGUAAAGCUCCUUCGACGAGUCGAGUAGUUUGGGAAUGCUGCUCUAAAUGGGAGGUGUACGUCUUCUAAAGCUAAAUACCGGCCAGAGACCGAUAGCGCACAAGUAGAGUGAUCGAAAGAUGAAAAGCACUUUGAAAAGAGGGUUAAAAAGUACGUGAAAUUGUUGAAAGGGAAGCAUUCAUGACCAGACUUGGGCUUGGUUGAACAUCCGGCGUUCUCGCCGGUGCACUCUGCCAGUCCAGGCCAGCAUCAGUUUGCCCCGGGGGAUAAAGGCGGCGGGAAUGUGGCUCCCUUCGGGGAGUGUUAUAGCCCGUCGUGUAAUGCCCUGGGGCGGACUGAGGAACGCGCUUCGGCACGGAUGCUGGCGUAAUGGUCAUCAAUGACCCGUCUUGAAACACGGACCCCUGUGUGAAAUUG
This 585-nucleotide ribosomal RNA is filed under the name Acremonium sp. DYG1(2). RNAcentral describes it as "eukaryotic LSU rRNA". It matches the Rfam family "Eukaryotic large subunit ribosomal RNA", at positions 74 to 664 of the family's 3401-position model. The record is from RNAcentral. Lineage: Eukaryota; Fungi; Ascomycota; Sordariomycetes; Hypocreales; Bionectriaceae.